GACGAACGCUGCGGGGGGGCUAACCCAUUCCAGGCCAACGGGAAAGCCCCGGCUUUGGUGGGUGCUCGGGGGGCCAACGGGGGAGGAACACGUUGGUUACCCGCCCCUUACCUUGGGGUUACCUUAGGAAAACUGGGGCAAUAACGGAUAAGAAGCCCCGCCGCCAGGUGGGGGGUGGAAAGGUUUCGGCGGUUGGGGAUGGACUCGCGGCUUAUCAGCUUGUUGGUGGGGUAGUGGCUUACCAAGGCUUUGACGGGUAGCCGGCCUGAGAGGGUGACCGGCCACAUUGGGACUGAGAUACGGCCCAGACUCCUACGGGAGGCAGCAGUGGGGAAUAUUGCACAAUGGGCGGAAGCCUGAUGCAGCAACGCCGCGUGCGGGAUGACGGCCUUCGGGUUGUAAACCGCUUUCGCCUGUGACGAAGCGUGAGUGACGGUAAUGGGUAAAGAAGCACCGGCUAACUACGUG
Molecule: ribosomal RNA, 468 nt
Filed under: uncultured bacterium
Lineage: Bacteria
Description: partial 16S ribosomal RNA
Rfam family: Bacterial small subunit ribosomal RNA
Source: RNAcentral